CGGCAAUAGCUCAAAUUUGAAAUCUGGCUUCUAUGAAGUCCGAGUUGUAAUUUGUAGAGGAUGUUUCGGCUCUUGCUCUGGUCUAAGUUCCUUGGAACAGGACGUCAUAGAGGGUGAGAAUCCCGUCUGCGAUUGGAAGUCAAGCAGCCAUGUGAAACUCCUUCGAC
This 167-nucleotide ribosomal RNA is filed under the name Phacidiales sp. RNAcentral's name for it is "partial large subunit ribosomal RNA". It matches the Rfam family "Eukaryotic large subunit ribosomal RNA", at positions 99 to 261 of the family's 3401-position model. The record is from RNAcentral. Lineage: Eukaryota; Fungi; Ascomycota; Leotiomycetes; Phacidiales.